Molecule: transfer RNA, 73 nt
Filed under: Nicotiana sylvestris (wood tobacco)
Lineage: Eukaryota; Viridiplantae; Streptophyta; Magnoliopsida; Solanales; Solanaceae
Also listed under: 1 other name
Rfam family: tRNA
About the family: Transfer RNA (tRNA) molecules are approximately 80 nucleotides in length. Their secondary structure includes four short double-helical elements and three loops (D, anti-codon, and T loops). Further hydrogen bonds mediate the characteristic L-shaped molecular structure. tRNAs have two regions of fundamental functional importance: the anti-codon, which is responsible for specific mRNA codon recognition, and the 3' end, to which the tRNAs corresponding amino acid is attached (by aminoacyl-tRNA synthetases). tRNAs cope with the degeneracy of the genetic code in two manners: having more than one tRNA (with a specific anti-codon) for a particular amino acid; and 'wobble' base-pairing, i.e. permitting non-standard base-pairing at the 3rd anti-codon position.
Source: Rfam by way of RNAcentral
GCACCUGUAGCUUAGUGGAUAGAGCGCUUGUUUCCUAAGCUGAAUGUCGUAGGUUCGACCCUUACCUAGUGCA